RNAcentral lists this long non-coding RNA (273 nucleotides) under Setaria viridis. RNAcentral's name for it is "long non-coding RNA (SVIR_LNC000474)". Lineage: Eukaryota; Viridiplantae; Streptophyta; Magnoliopsida; Poales; Poaceae. The record is from RNAcentral.
UUACACUGAAAUGCAAAUAUCUCGUAGAAAUUAUGUUUAUUCAAUCUAUUUCAAUAGUAAUUUUUCCCUUUCUUCAACCUCAAUGAUGCUGCGUUUGAUCUCUCCAAUAGGGUGGGCACUAAAGAACUCAGUAAUUAACCUACACUAUAGAUACAUUGCUGUAACUAACAUAGAAUUUAUUUCUUUUACUUCGGCUCCUAUCCAUCAUCCAACAAUUGCGUAGCGUGGUGGUGAGGUGCUCAAGUCUAAACUCUGGAGACCCUUGUUUGAUUC